UUGACAUACCAUUGACCGUUCUAGAGAUAGGAUUUUCCCUUCGGGGACAAUGGAUACAGGUGGUGCAUGGUUGUCGUCAGCUCGUGUCGUGAGAUGUUGGGUUAAGUCCCGCAACGAGCGCAACCCCUGUCGUUAGUUGCCAGCAUUCAGUUGGGGACUCUAACGAGACUGCCAGUGACAAACUGGAGGAAGGUGGGGAUGACGUCAAAUCAUCAUGCCCCUUAUGACCUGGGCUACACACGUGCUACAAUGGUUGGUACAAAGAGAAGCGAAGCGGUGACGUGGAGCAAACCUCAUAAAGCCAAUCUCAGUUCGGAUUGUAGGCUGCAACUCGCCUACAUGAAGUUGGAAUCGCUAGUAAUCGCGAAUCAGAAUGUCGCGGUGAAUACGUUCCCGGGUCUUGUACACACCGCCCGUCACACCACGAGAGUCUACAACACCCGAAGUCAGUGGCCUAACCGCAAGGAGGGAGCUGCCUAAGGUGGGGUAGAUGAUUGGGGUGAAGUCGUAACAAGGUAUCCCUACCGGAA
Molecule: ribosomal RNA, 530 nt
Filed under: uncultured bacterium
Lineage: Bacteria
Description: bacterial SSU rRNA
Rfam family: Bacterial small subunit ribosomal RNA
Source: RNAcentral